GACGAACGCUGGCGGCGUGCUUAACACAUGCAAGUCGAACGGAAAGGCCCUGCUUUUGUGGGGUGCUCGAGUGGCGAACGGGUGAGUAACACGUGAGUAACCUGCCCUUGACUUUGGGAUAACUUCAGGAAACUGGGGCUAAUACCGGAUAGGAGCUCCUGCUGCAUGGUGGGGGUUGGAAAGUUUCGGCGGUUGGGGAUGGACUCGCGGCUUAUCAGCUUGUUGGUGGGGUAGUGGCUUACCAAGGCUUUGACGGGUAGCCGGCCUGAGAGGGUGACCGGCAGGAGUGGGACGGAGCGACGGCCGAGACGGAGACGGGAGCGAGGAGGGGGGAAGAGGGCAGAAGGGGAGGAAGGCGGAUGCAGCAACGGCGAGGGAGGGAGGGGGGGUGGCGGUUGGGAAAACGCUGGCUCCUGCGACGAAGCGGGAGGGACGGUAAGGGGUAAAGAAGAACCGGCUAAGCACGUG
This 468-nucleotide ribosomal RNA is filed under the name uncultured bacterium. RNAcentral's name for it is "partial 16S ribosomal RNA". It matches the Rfam family "Bacterial small subunit ribosomal RNA", at positions 28 to 507 of the family's 1533-position model. The record is from RNAcentral.